GACGAACGCUGGCGGCGUGCCUAAUACAUGCAAGUAGAACGCUGAAGGAAGGAGCUUGCUCUUUCUGGAUGAGUUGCGAACGGGUGAGUAACGCGUAGGUAACCUGCCUGGUAGCGGGGGAUAACUAUUGGAAACGAUAGCUAAUACCGCAUAAAAUUGAUUAUUGCAUGAUAGUCAAUUAAAAGGUGCAACUGCACCACUACCAGAUGGACCUGCGUUGUAUUAGCUAGUUGGUGGGGUAACGGCUCACCAAGGCGACGAUACAUAGCCGACCUGAGAGGGGGAGAGGCCAGACGGGGACUGAGACACGGCCCAGACGCCAACGGGAGGCAGCAGUAGGGAAUCUUCGGCAAUGGACGGAAGUGUGAACGAGCAACGCCGAGGGAGUGAAGAAGGGUUUCGGAUCGUAAAGCUCUGUUGUAAGAGAAGAACGAGUGGGGGAGUGGAAAGUUCACACUGUGACGGGAGCUUAACAGAAAGGGAAGGCUAACUACGUG
Molecule: ribosomal RNA, 497 nt
Filed under: uncultured bacterium
Lineage: Bacteria
Description: partial 16S ribosomal RNA
Rfam family: Bacterial small subunit ribosomal RNA
Source: RNAcentral